RNAcentral lists this transfer RNA (73 nucleotides) under Caudoviricetes sp. RNAcentral describes it as "tRNA-Arg". It matches the Rfam family "tRNA". From Rfam's summary of the family: Transfer RNA (tRNA) molecules are approximately 80 nucleotides in length. Their secondary structure includes four short double-helical elements and three loops (D, anti-codon, and T loops). Lineage: Duplodnaviria; Heunggongvirae; Uroviricota; Caudoviricetes. The record is from RNAcentral.
ACUCUUAUAGUUCAACAGGAGAGAACACCGUCCUUCUAAGGCGGCUAUGUGGGUUCGAGUCCUACUAGGAGUA